CCUACGGGAGGCAGCAGUGGGGAAUAUUGCACAAUGGGGGAAACCCUGAUGCAGCGACGCCGCGUGAGUGAAGAAGUAUUUCGGUAUGUAAAGCUCUAUCAGCAGGGAAGAAAAUGACGGUACCUGAUUAAGAAGCCCCGGCUAACUACGUGCCAGCAGCCGCGGUAAUACGUAGGGGGCAAGCGUUAUCCGGAUUUACUGGGUGUAAGGGGAGCGUAGACGGCAGCACAAGUCUGGAGGGAAAUGCCGGGGCUUAACCCCGGAACGGCUUUGGAAACUGUGCAGCGAGAGUGCAGGAGAGGUAAGUGGAAUUCCUAGGGAAGCGGUGAAAUGCGUAGAUAUUAGGAGGAACACCAGUGGCGAAGGCGGCUUACUGGACUGUAACUGACGUUGAGGCUCGAAAGCGUGGGGAGCAAACAGGAUUAGAUACCCGGGUAGUC
RNAcentral lists this ribosomal RNA (440 nucleotides) under uncultured bacterium. RNAcentral describes it as "partial 16S ribosomal RNA". It matches the Rfam family "Bacterial small subunit ribosomal RNA", at positions 338 to 795 of the family's 1533-position model. The record is from RNAcentral.